AUUAGCUAGAUGGUAAGGUAACGGCUUACCAUGGCUACGAUGUCUAGGGGUUCUGAGAGGAAGGUCCCCCACACUGGAACUGAGACACGGUCCAGACUCCUACGGGAGGCAGCAGUGAGGAAUAUUGGACAAUGGAUGGAAAUCUGAUCCAGCCAUGCCGCGUGCAGGAAGACGGCCCUAUGGGUUGUAAACUGCUUUUGUAUGGGAGCAAUAAGGGCUACGUGUAGUCCGAUGAGAGUACCAUACGAAUAAGCACCGGCUAACUCCGUGCCAGCAGCCGCGGUAAUACGGAGGGUGCAAGCGUUAUCCGGAUUUAUUGGGUUUAAAGGGUGCGUAGGCGGUUUGAUAAGUCAGCGGUGAAAUAUUUCAGCUUAACUGGAAGGGUGCCGUUGAUACUGUCGAGCUUGAAUUUAGUUGCUGUGGGUGGAAUGUGUGGUGUAGCGGUGAAAUGCAUAGAUAUCACACAGAAUAUCGAUUGCGAAGGCAGCUCACAAAGCUAAUAUUGACGCUGAUGCACGAAAGUGUGGGGAUCAAACAGGAUUAGAUACCCUGGUAGUCCACACUGUAAAC
RNAcentral lists this ribosomal RNA (570 nucleotides) under uncultured bacterium. RNAcentral's name for it is "bacterial SSU rRNA". It matches the Rfam family "Bacterial small subunit ribosomal RNA", at positions 240 to 807 of the family's 1533-position model. The record is from RNAcentral.